RNAcentral lists this ribosomal RNA (625 nucleotides) under uncultured archaeon. RNAcentral's name for it is "bacterial SSU rRNA". It matches the Rfam family "Archaeal small subunit ribosomal RNA", at positions 20 to 626 of the family's 1478-position model. The record is from RNAcentral.
CCACUGACUGCUAUCAUGGUACUACCGCGAGUCGGUCUCAGCGGACUGCUCUACACGUAUUAACUUAACCUAUGGAUGGGAUCCUCGGGAAACUGAAAACGAAAAAAANUCACAAUACCCAAUGGGCCACAGUGCCUGGAAUGGCCUGUGGUUGAAAUGAUUUAUCGCCGUAGGAUAGGACUGCGGCCUAUCAGCUUGUUNGGUGAGGUAAUGGCCCACCAAGGCUAUAACAGGUACGGGCUCUGAGAGGAGGGGCCCGGAGAUGGGUACUGAGACACGGACCCAGGCCCUAUGGGGCGCAGCAGGCGAGAAACCUUUGCAAUGUGCGAAAGCACGACAAGGUUAAUCCGAGUGUCUCCUGCUAAAGGAGUCUUUUGUCAGUUGUAGAAGUCCACUGGGAUGAANUUAAGGGGUGGGCAAGUUCUGGUGUUCAGCACGACCGGGCGAGUAAAAACAAGGCACCCUUCGAGUGGUCAGGAGGUUUAUUGGGCCUAAAGCAUCCGUAGCCCCGAGUUGCAAUUAAGUUUUCGGUUAAAUCUAUGCGCUUAAACCGUAAUUAGGCCGGCACCGAACAAUACUGUGCAGACCUAGGGAGUUGGGGACGAGGUACACGGUACUCGAUAGG